This 730-nucleotide ribosomal RNA is filed under the name uncultured Acidobacteriota bacterium. Its description in RNAcentral is "bacterial SSU rRNA". It matches the Rfam family "Bacterial small subunit ribosomal RNA", at positions 94 to 803 of the family's 1533-position model. The record is from RNAcentral. Lineage: Bacteria; Pseudomonadati; Acidobacteriota.
AGUGGCAGACGGGUGAGUAACGCGUGGGUGACCUGCCUUCGAGUGGGGGAUAACGUUCCGAAAGGGACGCUAAUACCGCACGACAUGCUGUCUUUCAAGAGACGGACAUCAAAGCCGGGGAUCGCAAGACCUGGCGCUCGAAGAGGGGCCCGCGUCCGAUUAGCUAGUUGGUGGGGUAAUGGCUCACCAAGGCUACGAUCGGUAGCCGGCCUGAGAGGGCGGACGGCCACACUGGGACUGAGACACGGCCCAGACUCCUACGGGAGGCAGCAGUGGGGAAUUGUUCGCAAUGGGCGCAAGCCUGACGACGCAACGCCGCGUGGAGGAUGAAGAUCUUCGGGUCGUAAACUCCUUUCGAUUGGGACGAAUGGCCUUCGGGUGAACAAUCCGGAGGCGUGACGGUACCGAGAGAAGAAGCCCCGGCUAACUCCGUGCCAGCAGCCGCGGUAAUACGGGGGGGGCAAGCGUUGUUCGGAAUUACUGGGCGUAAAGGGCUCGUAGGCGGCCAACUAAGUCAGACGUGAAAUCCCUCGGCUUAACCGGGGAACUGCGUCUGAUACUGGAUGGCUUGAGUCCGGGAGAGGGAUGCGGAAUUCCAGGUGUAGCGGUGAAAUGCGUAGAUAUCUGGAGGAACACCGGUGGCGAAGGCGGCAUCCUGGACCGGCACUGACGCUGAGGAGCGAAAGCCAGGGGAGCAAACGGGAUUAGAUACCCCGGUAGUCCUGGCCCU